ACGGAGGGUGCGAGCGUUAUUCGGAAUUACUGGGCGUAAAGCGCGUGCAGGCGGGGUAGCAAGUCAGAUGUGAAAACCCUCGGCUUAACCCGGGAACUGCCAUUGAUACUGUUAUUCUUGAGUACUGUAAAGGUAGGCGGAAUUUGCAGUGUAGCGGUGAAAUGCGUAGAGAUCGCGAGGAAUACCGAUUGCGAAGGCAGCCUACUGGGCCGUUACUGACGCUGAUGCACGAAAGCGUGGGGAGCAAACAG
This 251-nucleotide ribosomal RNA is filed under the name uncultured prokaryote. RNAcentral describes it as "partial 16S rRNA". It matches the Rfam family "Bacterial small subunit ribosomal RNA", at positions 525 to 775 of the family's 1533-position model. The record is from RNAcentral.